Molecule: ribosomal RNA, 253 nt
Filed under: Faecalibacterium prausnitzii
Lineage: Bacteria; Bacillati; Bacillota; Clostridia; Eubacteriales; Oscillospiraceae
Description: partial 16S ribosomal RNA
Rfam family: Bacterial small subunit ribosomal RNA
Source: RNAcentral
AACGUAGGUCACAAGCGUUGUCCGGAAUUACUGGGUGUAAAGGGAGCGCAGGCGGGAGAACAAGUUGGAAGUGAAAUCCAUGGGCUCAACCCAUGAACUGCUUUCAAAACUGUUUUUCUUGAGUAGUGCAGAGGUAGGUGGAAUUCCCGGUGUAGCGGUGGAAUGCGUAGAUAUCGGGAGGAACACCAGUGGCGAAGGCGGCCUACUGGGCACCAACUGACGCUGAGGCUCGAAAGUGUGGGUAGCAAACAGG